UACGAAGGGUGCAAACGUUGCUCGGAAUCAUUGGGCGUAAAGCGCACGUAGGCGGCUUCGCAAGUCGGAUGUGAAAUCCCUCGGCUCAACCGAGGACGUGCAUCCGAAACUGCGGAGCUUUGAGUACUGAAGAGGAUCGCGGAAUUCCCGGUGUAGAGGUGAAAUUCGUAGAUAUCGGGAGGAACACCAGUGGCGAAGGCGGCGAUCUGGGCAGUUACUGACGCUGAGGUGCGAAAGCGUGGGGAGCAAACAGG
This 254-nucleotide ribosomal RNA is filed under the name uncultured bacterium. RNAcentral's name for it is "partial 16S ribosomal RNA". It matches the Rfam family "Bacterial small subunit ribosomal RNA", at positions 524 to 776 of the family's 1533-position model. The record is from RNAcentral.